Mastomys coucha (southern multimammate mouse) is the source of this 669-nucleotide long non-coding RNA. RefSeq lists it as uncharacterized. The transcript is spliced from 6 exons. The record is from RefSeq and is a predicted model, not a curated record. Lineage: Eukaryota; Metazoa; Chordata; Mammalia; Rodentia; Muridae.
AGGCUAGAAUAAAUAUUAUCUCUUAUUGAUUUAUGAAGGUUCUGAUGACAAGAAAUGGCAAAGACAGGAGGACUACUUGUCUGACAACAGGAUCCUCUACCCAUUUAUGGCAACAGCUUCAGAAAUAAGUCAGACUUGUGGGAGAAAAAAUGGAAGUACCCAAGGAACAAAUACUAGACUAUGAAACCAAAGCCAGGGAGGGUAGCCUACUUUGUGAUUGUCUCUUCCUUUAUGAGCACAUAGCUUAGUUCCCAGUCUGGUGAUGUCCAGUGUUGAUUCUCAAGGCCAGUUUUACAGAAACAACUGUUUUCUUUAUGAGAUCAUCCACCUCCCCUGACCCACACACUUCUCUACAGGUCUGGAUUAAAGUGAAGUAAUCAAUCUAGGCAAAGCAUCAGUCCUUAUAUGUUGAUAAUAAGAAAUAGAUAAAGUACAGCAUCAUGAAGUUCUAAAGGCCCAACAUGAAAACGAGGCUCAAUUUUGAAUAUUUAUAAUUCAAAGAAUGCCAUAGUCGUUUUAAUUAGUGAACCUCUGGAUACGUCUAUCCUGACAGCUCAGGAUCACUGACAUUACAGGGGUAAUGGAUGAAUAAAGAACUGUUCCCUGGUUUGCAAACACCUGGAUUUACAACACUAUUUGUUAUUAAAUAAAGUUCACAGUUGAUAUGGA